ACUCAAAAAAAGAAACGCUUUGAUGUUUAAAACCUUGAAAGCCUAGUACUACUGACUUUGCAUCAAAAGAACUCUAUUGCAACAAUAUACAAGUCUUAAAAGACAAGAAUAUCUAGAAAUUCCAUGUAUCAAGAAAUGUGAUCAAAAUAGUGAGAAAGGAAUAUAAUACGGGAAUUUCAACCCACUUAACCAAGCUUAUCUAGCAACUCCUAGCAUAUUUCAUAUUUGGUUAUCUAAAGCUAGCGCAAAAUUCAAUCGAUACAGAUGCACUGAUUAAUCUUCAAGUGACAUUCCUCACUCUUUGGCAGCCAUACAAUCUAUAAGCAUGCUCACAAUUGCUUAUGUCCAGCGUGAUGAUGAGGGAUUUUGCAGCUAAGUAUAUCAUUCCUCAAAGGUCAAUCUUAAGAAAAUAGGUCAGACCUAACUCACCCCCAAAAGCUA
This 441-nucleotide unclassified non-coding RNA is filed under the name Hevea brasiliensis (rubber tree). Lineage: Eukaryota; Viridiplantae; Streptophyta; Magnoliopsida; Malpighiales; Euphorbiaceae. The record is from RNAcentral.